ACACGUAGGAGACAAGCGUUAUUCGGAUUUACUGGGCGUAAAGCGCGUGCAGGCGGUCUGACAAGUUGGAUGUGAAAGCUCCCGGCUUAACUGGGAGAGGUCGUUCAAAACUAUCAGACUAGAGAGUGGUAGAGGAAGGCGGAAUUCCGGGUGUAGUGGUGAAAUGCGUAGAUAUCCGGAGGAACACCAGUGGCGAAAGCGGCCUUCUGGACCAAAUCUGACGCUCAGACGCGAAAGCUAGGGUAGC
RNAcentral lists this ribosomal RNA (247 nucleotides) under uncultured bacterium. RNAcentral describes it as "partial 16S ribosomal RNA". It matches the Rfam family "Bacterial small subunit ribosomal RNA", at positions 523 to 769 of the family's 1533-position model. The record is from RNAcentral.